CAGAAAUGGGGCUGGGAGUGAGGAGGGGAGGAACCACAGUACUGAAGCUUCCUUCCAUGAGGUCAGGGCCAGGUUCAAACCUGGGCUGCACCACAGCAGAGCAGUGCACUGGACAAGUGAGGACAGAGAAAUGUGAGAAGGAGAGAGAAAUACAGACAUCUGCAGCCCUUCUUCACCAUGCUCAUGAAACUUCCUUCUCCCCUGCAGCCAAUGCCAAGCCUCAGAUCUGUUCUCCUUUGAUACACUUUCCUGUUGAAACCUGCCAAGACUGGUGAACAUGGUGUGUCUGCUCUGGAGCUGAGGGCAGCUCUGCAGCAGAAUGUGGGGGGGGGGGGGGGUGGUGGGGGGGGGGGAGAGAAUUCUAGAUUUCCUGCUUUGGCUUUAGUCCCUAAAGACUAUAACAGACUUUUAAAGUCAUUCUUAUCAUGGUCAGUGCCUCAAGUUUUUCAUCUGUCUAAGGGGUGCAAUUGCUCAGCCCCUUCUGAUGAUCCUGAGAUCCAGAAGUUAGAACUAGAAUCACUUUUAUUGGUGAUUUAAUAUUGAUUUACAAAAUUACAAGAUAACACGUACAAUUCCACACUGUUCCCACCACCAGAGUUCUGGAUCCCCAAUCUCUCCACUGUAAGCUACAGCAGUUCUCCUAAGGUUACAGAUAUGGGUUAACUAUUAUUUCUACAGCCAUCUGCCUAUAUUUGUAUAUAUUUGCCCUUUUUUGGGGGGGGUCUCAUCUCCUUUCCAAGUCAUACAUACACCUAUUAUUACAUUCAAAUGUCCCUCCCUGCUUCCUCCUCUCUCUCCAGUUUCUGAUGGAGUUGGGGUUCAGAGCCCUCUGAUCAUCUUCCCCCUAUCAUUUCUCCCCCACUAAGAGUAUGGAUCAAAAUUGUUUUGGGGGUGUAGAAGGUGGAAGGUCUGGCUUCUGUAAUCGAUUCUCUGCUGGACAUGGAUGUUGGCAGGUGGAUCCACACCCCCAGCCUGUUUCUAUGUUUCCCUAGUGGGGCAGGGCUCUGGAGAGGUGGGGUACAGUGGUGAGGUUGUCUUCCCAGGAAAUAAGACAGGUCUUUGUCAUACCUUGUCUAUUCCCACCCCACGUCCCCACCUUCCAUACUCCUAACCAUCUGAAAGACAAAAGCCACAUAAAUAAAACAGGUCCAGCAAGAAGUGACUGCAGCAAAUGACACAUGUUGGCAGGAUUCCCAACCUAACCCUGAAAACUGAGAGAAUCUACGUGACAAAGGAGGGCAGGGGACACACCAGCAGAAGUGUGCACUGAAGUCCAUAGUCAACACGGUCAGGAAGAUUUACUACGUACCUACAGUGUACACAGCGUGACACUGGACAUUUCAAUCCAAUGGGCCACCGUGCUGGUGACACAUGCACGGUUACUGAUACUUCCUAGCUGACUAAGCUGGCUGGGUGA
Erinaceus europaeus (western European hedgehog) is the source of this 1417-nucleotide long non-coding RNA. RefSeq lists it as uncharacterized. The transcript is spliced from 3 exons. The record is from RefSeq and is a predicted model, not a curated record. NCBI's taxonomy places the organism in Eukaryota, Metazoa, Chordata, Mammalia, Eulipotyphla, Erinaceidae.